RNAcentral lists this ribosomal RNA (1141 nucleotides) under uncultured Synechocystis sp. RNAcentral's name for it is "bacterial SSU rRNA". It matches the Rfam family "Bacterial small subunit ribosomal RNA", at positions 376 to 1533 of the family's 1533-position model. The record is from RNAcentral. Lineage: Bacteria; Bacillati; Cyanobacteriota; Cyanophyceae; Synechococcales; Merismopediaceae.
CGAAAGCCUGACGGAGCAAUACCGCGUGAGGGAGGAAGGCUUUUGGGUUGUAAACCUCUUUUGUCAGGGAAGAAAAUUUGACGGUACCUGAAGAAAAAGCAUUGGCUAACUCCGUGCCAGCAGCCGCGGUAAUACGGAGGAUGCAAGCGUUAUCCGGAAUAAUUGGGCGUAAAGGGUCCGCAGGUGGCCAUUCAAGUCUGCUGUCAAAGACCGUGGCUCAACCACGGAAAGGCAGAGGAAACUGUUUAGCUAGAGUACGGUAGGGGUAGAGGGAAUUCCCAGUGUAGCGGUGAAAUGCGUAGAUAUUGGGAAGAACACCGGUGGCGAAAGCGCUCUACUGGGCCGAAACUGACACUGAGGGACGAAAGCUAGGGUAGCGAAAGGGAUUAGAUACCUCUGUAGUCUUAGCUGUAAACGAUGGAUACUAGGUGUAGCUUGUAUCGACCCGAGCUGUGCCGAAGCUAACGCGUUAAGUAUCCCGCCUGGGGAGUACGCACGCAAGUGUGAAACUCAAAGGAAUUGACGGGGGCCCGCACAAGCGGUGGAGUAUGUGGUUUAAUUCGAUGCAACGCGAAGAACCUUACCAGGGCUUGACAUGUGGCGAAUCUCUGUGAAAGCAGGGAGUGCCUUAGGGAGCGCCAACACAGGUGGUGCAUGGCUGUCGUCAGCUCGUGUCGUGAGAUGUUGGGUUAAGUCCCGCAACGAGCGCAACCCUCGUUUUUAGUUGCCAUUUUAAUGGCUCUCUAGAGAGACUGCCGGGGACAACUCGGAGGAAGGUGGGGAUGACGUCAAGUCAGCAUGCCCCUUACGCCCUGGGCUACACACGUACUACAAUGGUUGGGACAAAGGGCAGCAAACCCGCGAGGGCAAGCGAAUCUCAUCAAACCCAGCCUCAGUUCAGAUUGCAGGCUGCAACUCGCCUGCAUGAAGGAGGAAUCGCUAGUAAUCGCAGGUCAGCAUACUGCGGUGAAUUCGUUCCCGGGCCUUGUACACACCGCCCGUCACACCAUGGAAGCUGGCUACGCCCGAAGUCGUUACCCUAACCCUUAGGGGAGGGGGAUGCCGAAGGUAGAGCUAGUGACUGGGGUGAAGUCGUAACAAGGUAGCCGUACCGGAAGGUGUGGCUGGAUCACCUCCUUUA